AUCGGAGCGGGGUGUGUGGCUGGUAGGUCUACAUCAUAGAUCGGAGCGGGGUGUGUGGCUGGUAGGUUACAUCACAGAGCGGAGCGGGGUGUGUGGCUGGUAGGUCUACAUCAUAGAUCGGAGCGGGUGUGUGGCUGGUAAGUCUACAUCAUAGAUCGGAGGCGGGUGUGGUGGCUGGUAGGUCUACAUCAUAGAUCGGAGUGGGUGUGUUGGCUGUAGGUCUACAUCAUAGAUCGGAGCGGGGUGUGUGCUGGUAGGUCUACAUCAUAGAUCGGAGCGGGGUGUGUGGCUGGUAGGUCUACAUCACAGAGCGGAGCGGGGUGUGUGGCUGGUAGGUCUACAUCACAGAGCGGAGCGGGUGUGUGGCUGGUAGGUCUACAUCACAGAGCGGAGCGGGUGUGUGGCUGGUAGGUUACAUCACAGAACAGAGCGGGGGAGUGUGGCUGGUAGGUUACAUCACAGUGUGGAGCGGGGUGUGUGGCUGGUUGGUCUACAUCAUAGAUCGGAGCGGGGUGGUGUGGCUGGUAGGUCUACAUCACAGAGCGGAGGCGGGUGUGUGGCUGGUAGGUUACAUCACAGUGUGGAGCGGGGGUGUGUGGCUGUAGGUUACAUCACAGAACAGAGCGGGGUGUGUGGCUGGUAGGUCUACAUCACAGAGCGGAGCGGGGUUGUGUGGCUGUAGGUCUACAUCAUAGAUCGGAGCGGGGAGGGUGGCUGGUUGGUCAACAUCAUAGAUCGAGCGGGGUGUGUGGCUGGUAGGUCUACAUCACAGAGCGGAGCGGGGUGUGUGGCUGGUAGGUCACAAUCACAGAGCGGAGCGGGGUGUGUGGCUGGUUGGUCUACAUCAUAGAUCGGAGCGGGGAGGGUGGCUGGUUGGUCAACAUCAUAGAUCGGAGCGGGGUGUGUGGCUGGUAGGUCUACAUCACAGAGCGGAGCGGGGUGUGUGGCUGAUUGGUUACAUCACCGUUGUGGAGCGGGGUGGUGUGGCUGGUUGGUUUCUCUGAGGAGAGAGAUAAGAGAGAAGAGAGAAGAGGAGAGAAGAGAGAGAAGGGGGAAAGAGAGAGGAGAGAGAGAGAGAGAGAGAGAGAGAGAGAGACAGAGAGAGAGAGAGAGAGAGACCAUCUCACUAGCUAUACAUAACAUCUGGUCAUGUCAAAUAGCCAUAGACAGACAGAGAAUAGAGGUGAUUGUAUCAUAGUGCUGCCCAAUGGGAUAGUCAUCAUUUGUUCAACUUGUUUAUGGCUUAAUCAUUAGAAUAGUUAACUUCCAUUUGAUAGAAUAAAGAAAGUGACCCAAAAUGUCAUACAGAUAAUUGUAUUGGUCCAUAUUUGGGUAAUGAGAUAUCAUAAAAGUGUAACUGGCAGAAUUACAGAUAUCUUACUUUGAGGAGUUUGGGUUAAGAAGAAAGAUGGAUGUCAGUCGCAGCUUGAUAUGCCUUCUGUUUCAUCUUUGUCUUUCUCUGUAGUUUCUUUAGUCUCCUCAGCGGUGGACUUACUGGUCGAGCUGGCCGAUG
Molecule: long non-coding RNA, 1513 nt
Filed under: Salmo trutta (river trout)
Lineage: Eukaryota; Metazoa; Chordata; Actinopteri; Salmoniformes; Salmonidae
Description: lncRNA (ENSSTUG00000033305.1)
Source: RNAcentral